Penaeus monodon (black tiger shrimp) is the source of this 1628-nucleotide long non-coding RNA. RefSeq lists it as uncharacterized. NCBI's taxonomy places the organism in Eukaryota, Metazoa, Arthropoda, Malacostraca, Decapoda, Penaeidae. The record is from RefSeq and is a predicted model, not a curated record. The transcript has 3 exons.
GGAACCUCCGGCUCUCAGUAGCUGUUAGCUGCGUGAGCGAAGAACACAUGUCUCGAUACUCUUUCGUUCUUCACCCCCCCCCCUCCCCCCAAGAACAUGGCAUCAAAUGCUGAGCCCGAAUCGACUGGGAAUUAACUGAAAAUGACUCCAGAGAAGGACAAACAUAAGACAUCCAUUUUCAGAAAUUAACGAGUUUGCUUUGCGUUCGUCUGGCGGCCUCGAGCACCGCGGGCGGCACCGAUCGGGAGGAGGGCCUUGCAAGGUCUCGUCGGCCUUGAGUUUACACAAGGGCCAAAAGCUUAUCUAGAUUCCUAGCGGUUCAGGGUCACCGUUGCAGUGAGCUCCAGAAUCAGAAUCACAUGACGAAACGACGGCGCAGGAAGGUGAACCUCGGCGAGACCAACUCGGAGAGACGAGGAGGGUUAGCUGCUCGGGCACGACUCACCGCGGGCUCAGGGACUGCUUCUGGUAUGAUGACUUGGCGGCGACGGUAGCAGGUGGCAGGAGGCCCGUCAGCUGGAAGGAGCCGAGAAGUACGGGGAGGAAAGGAGGCGACAGGAGGCGAGGCGAGAAGAAGUAAAGGGCGGGAGGAGGAGGCGCGCCCCACUUCUGGUUUGCAUCCGGCCCAAGACGACGUUACGCAUGGACUUCAUCAUAUUGGAAAACUAGAAAUCAAAUAGAUUAUAUAAUAUUAAAUAAAAAAAAGGAAAAGUGUCAAAGAUGUGAAAACUUUACCUGGAGCUCACUGCAACGGUGACCCUGAACCGCUAGGAAUCUAGAUAACCUUUUGGCCCAUGAGGAGACAUCGGAAGGCGCCCUCCCCCCGAUCGGCGCCGCCCGCGGAGCUCGAGGCCACAGGGUCCUCGGAAGGUGUUGGUCUCCUGAGCGGCGCCGCCUGCGGUGCUCGAGGCCGCCAGACGAACACAAAGCUUUCGAACUGCAUGCAAAUAAACGGACGAUAUUACAAAGGAUAUAGCUAUAAUCAGCAACAGGGAUGGUGUUGCAAGAAGCUAAAGUUGAGAGAGAGACUAGUUCAAGUUUCUUACCUUGUCAAUUUCUGCAAAAGAAACAUCAGUUGUCUUAUAUUCGACCUUCUUCGGAGACUUCUGUGAAUACCCAGGCGAUUUUGGCUCAGCGUUUGAUGCCAUGUUCUUGCGGGGGGGUGGGGGGGGGGGUGAAGGACGAAAGAGUGAUCGAGACACGUGCUAUUCGCUCACGCUACUGAAAGCUGGAGGUUCCUCUGGGCGGGAGAGACAAUGCAGUCUUAACAAAUGCGCCCGGGCGGUUCCCCUGGCAUGUACGAAUGCUGUCCUCCUCUCCUCUCUCUCUCUCUCUCUCUCUCUCUCUCUCUCUCUCUCUCUCUCUCUCUCUCUCUCUCUCUCUCUCUUCUCUCUCUCUCUCUCUCUCUCUCUCUCUCUCCCCCUCUCUCUUCCUCUCUAUGUUAUAGAUGAUAUAACAAAAAUGAAAUUAGAAAACAGUGAUGACUGACGGCUGAGCAAAUCGAAGAUAAUCGUGAUAUAUCAGAAACAUCAAGGCAACAGAAACCAUUGAAAGGAGUCAACAUUCCCUCGCAGAGUGACUUUUAGGAUUACCGACUUAUUUUCUUAUAUUUCACAAAAAAAAAAAAA